Molecule: ribosomal RNA, 886 nt
Filed under: uncultured bacterium
Lineage: Bacteria
Description: bacterial SSU rRNA
Rfam family: Bacterial small subunit ribosomal RNA
Source: RNAcentral
AGAGUUUGAUCAUGGCUCAGAACGUACGCUGGCGGCACGCCUAACACAUGCAAGUCGAACGAAGUAGCAAUACUUAGUGGCAGACGGGUGAGUAACAUGUAGGUAUCUGCCCUUUGGCCUGGAAUAACACGAGGAAACUUGUGCUAAUACCGGAUAAGUCUUUACGGAGAAAGCUUUAUGCACCAUUGGAUGAGCCUACACUUGAUUAGUUUGUUGGUGGGGUAAUGGCCUACCAAGACUGUGAUCAAUAGCUGAUUUGAGAGGAUGAUCAGCCACAUUGGGACUGAGACACGGCCCAAACUCCUACGGGAGGCAGCAGUGGGGAAUCUUGCACAAUGGAGGAAACUCUGAUGCAGCGAUGCCGCGUGAGUGAAGAAGGCCCUUGGGUUGUAAAGCUCUUUCGUCGGGGAAGAAAAUGACUGUACCCGAAUAAGAAGGUCCGGCUAACUUCGUGCCAGCAGCCGCGGUAAUACGAAGGGACCUAGCGUAGUUCGGAAUUACUGGGCUUAAAGAGUUCGUAGGUGGUUGAAAAAGUUGGUGGUGAAAUCCCAGAGCUUAACUCUGGAACUGCCAUCAAAACUUUUCAGCUAGAGUAUGAUAGAGGAAAGCAGAAUUUCUAGUGUAGAGGUGAAAUUCGUAGAUAUUAGAAAGAAUACCAAUUGCGAAGGCAGCUUUCUGGAUCAUUACUGACACUGAGGAACGAAAGCAUGGGUAGCGAAGAGGAUUAGAUACCCUCGUAGUCCAUGCCGUAAACGAUGUGUGUUAGACGUUGGAAAUUUAUUUUCAGUGUCGCAGCGAAAGCGAUAAACACACCGCCUGGGGAGUACGACCGCAAGGUUAAAACUCAAAUGAAUUGACGGGGACCCGCACAAGUAGUGGAGCAUGU